RNAcentral lists this ribosomal RNA (239 nucleotides) under uncultured bacterium. RNAcentral's name for it is "partial 16S ribosomal RNA". It matches the Rfam family "Bacterial small subunit ribosomal RNA", at positions 524 to 762 of the family's 1533-position model. The record is from RNAcentral.
UACGAGGGGUCUAAGCGUUGUUCGGAAUCACUGGGCGUAAAGCGGGUGUAGGUGGCUAUGCAAGUUGGAUGUGAAAGCCCCGGGCUCAACCCGGGAAGUGCAUCCAAAACUACGUAGCUUGAGUGCGGGAGAGAAAGGCAGAAUUCCUGGUGUAGUGGUGAAAUACGUAGAUAUCAGGAGGAACUCCGGUGGCGAAGGCGGCCUUUUGGCCCAGCACUGACACUCAGACCCGAAAGCGU